CGUGUAGGCGGCCAACUAAGUCCGACGUGAAAUCCCUAGGCUUAACCUAGGAACUGCGUCGGAUACUGGAUGGCUUGAAUCCGGGAGAGGGAUGCGGAAUUCCAGGUGUAGCGGUGAAAUGCGUAGAUAUCUGGAGGAACACCGGUGGCGAAGGCGGCAUCCUGGACCGGUAUUGACGCUGAAGCGCGAAAGCCAGGGGAGCAAACGGGAUUAGAUACCCCGGUAGUCCUGGCCCUAAACGAUGAAUGUUUGGUGUGGCGGGUAUCGAUCCCUGCCGUGCCGAAGCUAACGCAUUAAACAUUCCGCCUGGGGAGUACGGUCGCAAGGCUGAA
Molecule: ribosomal RNA, 332 nt
Filed under: uncultured Acidobacteriota bacterium
Lineage: Bacteria; Pseudomonadati; Acidobacteriota
Description: bacterial SSU rRNA
Rfam family: Bacterial small subunit ribosomal RNA
Source: RNAcentral